UAACUGAUUUCUGGUGGGAGGUUAGUGUUGCCAAAUUCCAGGGUGCAAAUUAGAGCAAAAAAUGGCUCCAUUGUCCAGAAGCCCUGAGCCAGCCCGUCUGGGGUCACGCCAGGUUAGCCUCGCUCACCUGUCAGGCUUUGCUCUUCCUGGCCCCGGAUCUACGUAGAACAAUGCGCUUUGAACACACUCAGACUCUAAAGGGGUGGCCAGCGCUUCAGGUAGAACUGGCAGGGGAAUGAUCCUCUUUCACGACCUCUUUUCUCUUCAGGGAGACAGAAACCCUGCUCCCGGGUUCAGCCUCCUGUUUCUUCAGCACGUGACCCUGUGCGCGCUCCUGAAACCACCCGACCCGCGUCUGUUUCGACACCCACGAGCGAAAUCGGCGGCCUUCACUGCAUAACUCGGGCUUGAUGAACCAGGAGAGGGGCUGCUACUUACCCCAGAUUUGGCAGUGUGUGUGUGUGUGUGUGUGUGUGUGUGUGUGUGUGUGUGUGUUGGGACAGAGCCGGGUGUCCACUUCCCUCUGCACACGUCUUGGAAUCGCUCCGAGCCUGCUACUUUUUGCAGUACCCCAGCGGCUGGAAGGUACUGUUUAAUUCAGCUUUUAUGACUUAGACUGAGCGGAAGACAAUACCUUAUACAAGGCCGUCUCCUCUGGCAGAACUGAAGUUGGGGGUCAUCUCUGCAAGAGGGAGAUUGGUUGGGCUCAGUGACUAAACCUCGGAAGUGGUGCCUGUGUCCAUCAACAGGGGCCAGAACAGCCCUCCUGGUUUCCAGGAGUUUCUACUUGCUAGAAACGUGGCCUUGGGUGGUCACAGGGCAACUAUGGAGUUACAAGAGUAAAGAAUGGCCCAGCGUGGUGGCACAUCCUUGGAAUCCCAGCACUCGAGAGGCCGAGGCAGGAGAAUAGCCAAGAAUCUGAGCCGGCCUCUGCUACGAAGUGAGUUCAAGGCCAGCCUGAAUUAUACGCAAGGCUUACAGGCGUGCAUCAACACACUGGGUGACGCUGAGCAUCUAGGAAAAUUACGAAGGGGCAUCUGAAGCCUUGCCCUGCUAAGCUGGAGUCCUUUCUGACUCUUUGAAGAUGGCUCUUGUCCCUGCUGUGACUUCUGAAUA
Long non-coding RNA from Fukomys damarensis (Damara mole-rat), 1116 nucleotides. RefSeq lists it as uncharacterized. NCBI's taxonomy places the organism in Eukaryota, Metazoa, Chordata, Mammalia, Rodentia, Bathyergidae. The record is from RefSeq and is a predicted model, not a curated record. The transcript has 4 exons.